This is a non-coding RNA of Mycobacterium kumamotonense, 53 nucleotides long. The record is from Rfam. NCBI's taxonomy places the organism in Bacteria, Bacillati, Actinomycetota, Actinomycetes, Mycobacteriales, Mycobacteriaceae.
AGAGCGUCUGCCUCCGGAGCAGAAGGCCGCAGGUUCGAAUCCUGCCGGGGGCA